AUGCAUGUCAGAAUAGUGAAUGCUAAAGCUAGCUACCUGUUAAUACAAUCAAAGUUUUAUGAGUAUAUCCUUUGUUUGUUGCGGGAUUUGGAGGUGGUGGCGCGGCUCCGCGCGACCAUUCCGCGGGAGCGCGUCGGUCUAUUCUUCUGCGCAACUGCUCCUGGUGCUGGGAAUGGACGCCGUCGCGCGCUAUUGUCACGCGGGAUCGACGCGAUCGCGCGUUUUGGCGUCGCGCCACCGCCCCUCCCAUCGGUCAACUCAUCCCUCGGCACCGCGACGACGCGCUCCGGCUAAUCGUUCUGCCCCAGUAUGGUGUUAUGCUAAGCCCAGCUCUCAUUCUCACGAUGAUGAUGAGCCGUCGGUCAGUCCUGUCCUAUCUACCUAGCUAUUCCUUG
This 395-nucleotide long non-coding RNA is filed under the name Oryza sativa Indica Group (long-grained rice). RNAcentral's name for it is "lncRNA OsMH63_04G014030". The record is from RNAcentral. Lineage: Eukaryota; Viridiplantae; Streptophyta; Magnoliopsida; Poales; Poaceae.